GUCCUGCUCUUCUGAAUUUCCAUUAAUUCUCCAAGCCAAGACUUGCUGCACUAUAGUGAGUGAAGAACAGUUCCAUCUCGUUUCUGACAGAGGGCAGCAUUUCGUUUUCUACCACAGAGAGGUGUAUUCCUGGAGCUUGCAAAUGACGCCAGCUCAAAAUAAAGAAAAACAAAUUGAAAUGAGGAUUUUAAUCACUGUGAAGGGAAUGAAAGGCUGUGUCAGCGUUUCCAUGCUCGCAGCUUGAGCUCCAGGGAUGCGAGGGGAAUGAAGAUCACAAAUGUCAGCCAAAGAGGAGGCACUCUGGGUGAAACAAGAUGCAGUCUGAACCUUGGUCACAUCACAUCCAAGUCACCUCUGCUUGUUUGGCUUCAAACAGUAUCAGCAGAUAUUUCACUUGUAAUCAGAAAGAGAUCAAGCUAUUUCUCCAAAAGAAGUACCUGCGGUGAGGAUUCAGAUCUAAGAAGAGUGAGCCCCCAGGAGGGUGGACAGGCUGCAUGAGGAGCCCCGGAAACCCUGGACGUGACAGCAGGAGCUUACACUUGACCACGCUCAGAGGAGGAAUUGUCUCAUAGAGAUUUCAGUCUGGAGCUAGAGGCAAGGACUUGGGACCCAUCCUGACAAUGAAAGCAACCCCACAGAUGCACUGGGAUUUUCACUGGAGCGUCUAUAGGGGCUUUAUAAACAGCAGUGAAUCUUCACAGACCCCUUCACAGGGAGCCAGGUAGGAAGGAGGCUUCUCUCUUUGGAGAUGGAGGUACCAAGCUGGGAGGUGAUUUAUCUGAGAGCGUGAAAUGCCAGUGACCAACAAGGAAAUGCGUUUUCAAGCAUCCAGUUGAACCCACAGUUCUUUGAUGCUGAC
Bos taurus (domestic cattle) is the source of this 859-nucleotide long non-coding RNA. The record is from Ensembl. Lineage: Eukaryota; Metazoa; Chordata; Mammalia; Artiodactyla; Bovidae.